AGUUGUUAUCGAGAUACCACUCUAAAAGAACUAGACUUUUAACCUUAUUUUAGGACAUACGAAUCAAGGUAAUGGAGGUGUGCAAAGAUUUUCUUGAGUUGGACUAUAAAGAUUGGUCCUUUUAGUGCAAAAGUAGAAGAGGGUUUGACCACAAGGCCAACUUGUUGAGUAGGAAUGAAAGUUGGUUUUAAUGAUGUAAUAGUGUUAGGUGGAAAUGUCGUCACUCCAUAGAUAAAAGUUACUUUAGGGAUAACAAUCUAAUUUUCCUUGAGAGCUUACAUUGAUAGAAAGGUUUGACACUUGGAUAUUAGCUUUUCUCCACCUGGGGCUACAGUAUAUUCCAAGGAUUGAGUUGUUUGUUCAUUCACAUGAUACAUGAGUUGGAUUUAAAAUGUCUUAAGACAAUUCAGUCCAUAUCUUAUGCAGGAGUUAGAACAUUGAGAGGAGUUUUCCCUAGUAUGAAAUGAUAAGAAUGAUGCAUUCUAGUAUAGUAGCUAUCAUGUACAUGGAAAAAGUUGGGUGACAAAGUACAAAGCGGAUAACUAUUGAGAGCAUCCAAGUAAUAAGUCUACCCCGAUAUGAGUGUUCUCCUAUUCCAACUUCCCCAAAGCCUUUG
Molecule: non-coding RNA, 616 nt
Filed under: Vitis vinifera (wine grape)
Lineage: Eukaryota; Viridiplantae; Streptophyta; Magnoliopsida; Vitales; Vitaceae
Description: Bacterial large subunit ribosomal RNA
Rfam family: Bacterial large subunit ribosomal RNA
Source: Rfam by way of RNAcentral